Non-coding RNA from Podarcis lilfordi (Lilford's wall lizard), 77 nucleotides. NCBI's taxonomy places the organism in Eukaryota, Metazoa, Chordata, Lepidosauria, Squamata, Lacertidae. The record is from the annotation of a GenBank genome assembly.
GGAGAAGAACAGUAGCUCAGUGGUAGAUCACUUGCUUUGAAUGCAAAAGGCUCCUGGUUCAAUUCCCAACAACUCCA